GCAUAUAAUUAGGCGGAGGAAAAGAAAUUAACGAAGAUUUCCCUAGUAACGGCGAGUGAAAAGGAAAUAGUUCAGCGCUGAAUCCCUUAGCCCCUGGUUAAGGGACCUGUGGCGUGAAGGAGAGCCUAUCUGUCAGGUUGUUGGCUUCGGAAUAUCCCUCGAAUGGGAACCCAAAGCAGGUGCGAGGCCUGUAACGAGGUGAUACCUGUCAGUUUGAGCCUCCAUAGAGUCGGGUUACUUGAGAGUGUAGCCCAAAGCGGAAGGUAAACCCCUUCUAAAGCUAAAUAUUACCACGAGACCGAUAGCGAACAAGUACCGCGAGGGAAAGUUGAAAAGAACUUUGAAGAGAGAGUUCAAAAGGGCGUGAAACCGCUUGGAAGAAAACGGACGGAGCCGUCAGGGGCCUUCGGGAAUCAGUCUUACGAUGCGUGAAGGUAUCAUGGUUCAGAACGCAAGUCUGGCCGUGGUAUAGUAAAAAGUAACGUUCGUUAGGCGCAUUUCUCAAGGGUAAGCACUGCGACCGAUACGAAAGGCCAAUGAAGCAUUUGGAUUGAGGGCGAGACCUCUCACGGGGACUCGUAACCAGUCUUUAUGUGCCUAGUCAUUGGACCGCAGUAUGUAUCGAAAGCCAAAGUAUGAAUAUACGUCGGCGUAAACGCUCGCUCGUUAUAACGGAUAGUUGGUCAAUAGUAUUAGUAUUUGCUCGCAGAUACUAGUCUAUUCGAUUCGGCUUUGAAGUUAUCGGCGACUCGACGUAUAGGCGUCAGCAGUGUCAGUGUCGGUCACCCGUCCGACCCGUCUUGAAACACGGACCAAGGAGUCUAACAUAUGCGCGAGCUAAUGGGUGGAAAACCCAUAGGCGAAAUAAAAGUAAAGGCUGUUUCGGACAGCUAAGGUACGAUCCUAGUAUCCGAGCGAUAUUAGGCGCAGUACCGUCCCGUCCCGACUGCAUGUCGGUAGGGCGGAGAUAGAGUGCAUACGUUGGGACCCGAAAGAUGGUGAACUAUGCCUGAGCAGAGCGAAGCCAGAGGAAACUCUGGUGGAGGUUCGUAGCGGUUCUGACGUGCAAAUCGAUCGUCAGACUUGGGUAU
This 1091-nucleotide ribosomal RNA is filed under the name Paractinolaimus macrolaimus. Its description in RNAcentral is "LSU rRNA". It matches the Rfam family "Eukaryotic large subunit ribosomal RNA", at positions 38 to 918 of the family's 3401-position model. Lineage: Eukaryota; Metazoa; Nematoda; Enoplea; Dorylaimida; Actinolaimidae. The record is from RNAcentral.